Molecule: long non-coding RNA, 396 nt
Organism: Solanum lycopersicum (tomato)
Lineage: Eukaryota; Viridiplantae; Streptophyta; Magnoliopsida; Solanales; Solanaceae
Source: RefSeq, a predicted model, not a curated record
UGGAUCUUCAUGAUACCUUCCAUUCUCUUCGUUUUCGAGGCAUCUUGUGGAGGAUUGUGAGGGCAUAUUGGGCUAUUGAAAGACCUUGUCGUGAAGAUUAGUGAUGUCGUUCGAAUUCAAGGGUGCAACACCAACACAUAAAUCAUAAGGGAGUACCAAUUUCUUACCCAUUUUAUGAAAAGAGACAUCGUGUGCUUAGCAAAAUGAUUUUUGAAGGGUUCGUAUCAUUGAUAUGAAGAUGAUCUGAAGAGGAAGUUGAAUAUUAUCAACCUCUCUCAUCCAAGGUAUAAUAAUUGUAUUCUGUACCUUGAAGUGUUAGUUUUGUCAUGGACGUCAUAACAACGUAACAAUGAAUUGAUUUGAUGAGCAAGUUUGAAUCUGUUUCAUUACUUCUUA